RNAcentral lists this ribosomal RNA (404 nucleotides) under Caulobacter vibrioides. RNAcentral's name for it is "partial 16S ribosomal RNA". It matches the Rfam family "Bacterial small subunit ribosomal RNA", at positions 355 to 776 of the family's 1533-position model. Lineage: Bacteria; Pseudomonadati; Pseudomonadota; Alphaproteobacteria; Caulobacterales; Caulobacteraceae. RNAcentral also lists the same sequence under 1 other name. The record is from RNAcentral.
UGGGGAAUAUUGGACAAUGGGGGCAACCCUGAUCCAGCCAUGCCGCGUGAGUGAUGAAGGCCUUCGGGUUGUAAAGCUCUUUUGGCGGGGACGAUGAUGACGGUACCCGCAGAAUAAGCCCCGGCUAACUUCGUGCCAGCAGCCGCGGUAAGACGAAGGGGGCUAGCGUUGUUCGGAAUUACUGGGCGUAAAGCGAGUGUAGGUGGUUGUUCAAGUUGGAUGUGAAAGCCUUGAGCUCAACUCAAGAAAUGCAUUCAGGACUGAGCGACUAGAGGACCGGAGAGGAUAGUGGAAUUCCCAGUGUAGUGGUGAAAUACGUAGAGAUUGGGAAGAACACCAGUGGCGAAGGCGGCUAUCUGGACGGUUUCUGACACUAAGACUCGAAAGCGUGGGGAGCAAACAGG